Non-coding RNA from Peptoniphilus sp. oral taxon 375, 182 nucleotides. Lineage: Bacteria; Bacillati; Bacillota; Tissierellia; Tissierellales; Peptoniphilaceae. The record is from Rfam.
UUUCUUGCUAUGAAGAGAAGAGUAUAGUAAAUCAGCCUACAGAGAGCCCUUGCUUGCUGGAAAAGGGUGGUGGGAUUUACUAGAAAAACAACUCGGAGCAUCGAAAGACGUAAUCUUGGCGAUAACAAGAAUAAAAGUGGCUUGAGCAAGAUAGGUGGCACCGCGAUGUAUUCGUCCUAUGC